GAAUUUUAUAUAAUUUUUUAUAAAAAAAAUAAAUUAUUUGAUAUAGAAAUUAAGAAAUUAUAUUUUAUUGGGAGGAUAAAAAAAUUAAUAAAACUUUUUUAUAUAGAUAAAAACAUAGAUAUAUGGAAUAAUAAUAGAUUAAUUUUUUAAAAUAUAAAAAUUAAAUUAGAAUUAAUUACCUUAGGGAUAACAGCGUAAAAUUUUUAGAGAGAUCAUAUUUAUAAAAAUGUUUAC
Molecule: ribosomal RNA, 234 nt
Filed under: Holcoponera relicta
Lineage: Eukaryota; Metazoa; Arthropoda; Insecta; Hymenoptera; Formicidae
Description: partial large subunit ribosomal RNA
Source: RNAcentral